UACGUAGGUGACCAGCGUUGUCCGGAUUUACUGGGCGUAAAGAGCGCGCAGGCGGUCGUUCAAGUCGAGUGUGAAAGCCCCCGGCUCAACUGGGGAGGGUCACUCGAUACUGAUCGACUUGAAGGCAGGAGAGGGAUGCGGAAUUCCAGGUGUAGCGGUGAAAUGCGUAGAUAUCUGGAGGAACACCGGUGGCGAAGGCGGCAUCCUGGACCAAGACUGACACUGAAAAGCGAAAGCCAGGGGAGCAAACGGG
This 253-nucleotide ribosomal RNA is filed under the name uncultured bacterium. Its description in RNAcentral is "partial 16S ribosomal RNA". It matches the Rfam family "Bacterial small subunit ribosomal RNA", at positions 524 to 776 of the family's 1533-position model. The record is from RNAcentral.